GAAGUAUGCGGCAGAAGUUUGAACUACACCCACAAAACAUUUGAAAACUAUUGCGAACUCUUUAAUGAAGAUUGUACCGGAAAAGAUCAAUGGUUGAUUGCGUAUCGGGGAAAAUGUCAAGGGGACUUGAAGACCUACCCAACAAAACAUGCUGAAUUGGUGACAAGAGCUGAAAUGUAUAUCCAUAAUUUUGAAGAGAUUAACCCUCCGAAACACAAAAGGCCACAUGGAGGUUAAUUACAACAUUGUACAGUGAGCAUUUACAGAUACAUAUGCUGGAACAAGUUUUUUGAAGCACGUACCAACAUACCAUAGUAUCAUAAAAUAAAAAUAAAAUAAUUGGCACUAUGGAAAUAUUUUGCGUCUGUUUCUAAAAAAAAAAAGAAAAUAAAUUACUGCUCUUUGUAAGAAUGUGACAUCUAAAGUCUAUCAUCUAUCUUAGUAUCGUUAGCUUUAAAGAUUUUUCGUCGAGUUCAUUGAUAUAAAUAGUUUGUCUGCGAAAUUUUUACGUUGAUAAAAUUAAAUUAAUAAUAGGAUUCGGAGAAAAUUAAAUUAAGAAAUAAAAUAAAUUAAUAGUUCAUA
This is a long non-coding RNA of Melitaea cinxia (Glanville fritillary), 582 nucleotides long. RefSeq lists it as uncharacterized. Lineage: Eukaryota; Metazoa; Arthropoda; Insecta; Lepidoptera; Nymphalidae. The transcript has 2 exons. The record is from RefSeq and is a predicted model, not a curated record.